CUAUUGCCUGAGAGCACAGCAGGAGGGACAAGGAUCGGGAUAUAAACCCAGGCAUUCGAGCCGGCAACAGCAACCCCCUUUGGGUCCCCUCCUUCCUAUGGGAGCUUUGUUUUCACUCUAUUUCACUCUAUUAAAUCUUGCACUGCACUCUUCUCGUCCAUGUUUGUUACGGCUCGAGCUGAGCUUUUCGCUCGCCGUCCACCACUGCUGUUUGCCACUGUCGUAGACCCGCCCCUGACUCCCAUCCCGCCACUGACUCCCAUCCCUCCAGAUCCGGCAGGGUGUCCGCUGUGCUCCUGAUCCAGCAAGACUCCGGUUGCCACUCCUGAUUUUGCUAAAGGCUUGCCAUUGUUCCUGCACGGCUAAGUGCCUGGGUUCGUCCUAAUUGAGCUGAACACUAGUCACUGGGUUCCACGGUUCUCUUCCAUGACCCACAGCUUCUAAUAGAGCUAUAACACUCACUGCAUGAUCCAAGAUUCCAUUCCUUGGAAUCCGUGAGGCCAAGAAUCCCGGGUCAGAGAACACAAAGCUUGCCACCAUCUUGGAAGCGGCCCACCACCAUCUUGGAAGCGGCUUGCCACCAUCUUGGGAACUCUGUGAGCAAGGGCCUCAGGUAACAUUUUGGUGACCACGAAGUGACCUCCAAAGCGAUGCGGAGUCUCACUGUGUUGCAAAUUCCUGACCUCAAGUGAUCUUCCUGCCUGGGCCUCAAAGUGCGGGGAUUAUACGCAGGGGCCACUGCUUUCAGCCUUUAAAUUCUGUUAAAAACAGCGUUGGUGAGGCAGCUGCAUAUGUUGGCAUGAUUGAUGAGAUCUGCUACAGUCAAGCAAGCAGCCCUGGGUGACCAGUUUACCCUUCCCUGCGAGGGUUCCAGCUGCCAGUUGCCCCCAUUCUGUGACAGCUUCUCCUUCUCCUCACCUUGUCAUCCAGCCAAGAUUGUACACUGUAGGAGUACAGUGGCAUCAGUGGAACUGCAGGUCAUGAUGUUAGAUGAAAGAAGACAAGAACUGAAAGACAAAUAUCUCAUGUUCUCACUCAGACCUGGAAGAAAAAAUAAUGCAUAUCCAUGGAAUCAACCCAAAUUCCCAUCAAUGAUAGACCUGAUAAAGCAAAUGUGGUACAUAUAUAACAUAGAAUACUAUUCAGCCAUAAAAAUGAACAAGAUCAUGUCCUUUGAAGAGACAUGAAUGGAGCUGGAAGCCAUUGUCCUCAGCAAACACAGGAACACAAAACCAAAGAUCGCAUGUUCUUAGUUAUAAGUGGGAGCUGAACAAUGAAAACACAUGGAUACAGGGAGGAGAACAACAUACACUGGGGCCUGUCAUCGAAGGGAGGGGAGGGAGUACAUCAGGAUAAAUAGCUAAUGCAUGUGGGGCUUAAUAUCUAGGUGAUGGAUUGACAGGUGCAGCAAACCACCAUGGCACACGUUUUCCUAUGUAACAAACCUGCACGUCCUGCACAUGUAUCUUGUAACUUAAAAUAAAGUAAAACUUUUUAAAAAAGUGCAUAUCACGAAAGUAGAGGGUAGGCUGGUGGUGUUAGAGUCCAGGAAAGAUAGGGAAAUAGGAGGGAUAAUGAGAGGUUAAUUAAUGUGUACAAAUAUUCAUUUAAGUAGGAGAAAUAAGACCUGGUGUUUGAUAGCUCAGUAGAGUGAUUAUAAUUACUAUUAGUCAAUUGUACAUUUCAAAAUAUCUAGAAAAGAAUAUUUCUAAUGUUCCUAGCAUAAAUAAGUUUAUAGGUAUCUCAAUUACCCUCAGUUGAUUAUCUGAACGUAUCAAAUAAUCAAAUAUACCAUAAAAAUAUGUACAUCAAAUAGAUAUCAAUUUAAAAAUCUAACAAUGAAGAAUAUUUCACUUUGAUUGUUGUAACCAGUUAAUCAUCUGUGAUUUUUUAAAUAGAAAUAUUUACUUUAUUAUUAUUAUUAUUAUUAGUUUAUUUUUUGAGACAGGGUCUUGCUCUGUCACCUAGGCUGCAGUUCAAUGGUGCAAACACAGCUCACUGUAACUUUGACUCCUGGGCUCAAGUGAUCCUCCACCUUAGCCUCUCAACUAGCUGAAACUACAGGUACAUGCCACCAUGACUAACUAAGAUUUUGUCCUUUUUGUAGAGAUGAGGUCCUGCUAUGUUGCCCAGGCAGAUCUUGAACUCCUGGCUUCAAUUGAUCCACCCAUCUGGACCUCAAAAAGUGCUGGGAUUACAGGCAUGAGCCAGUAGGACUGGCCAUAAGUAGUUAAGUUUAAAAGUGAGUGGCUAUACAAGGGAUCCCAAGAAAAUGGGUUAAUCCAGUUUGAGAUAGAGUAGGUAGAGAAGACCUUGACAUACCUUGUAAUGCUAGAAAAUAAGAAUGUGAUCAAAAAAUGAUUAGGGCAUGUCACAAAGACAAAGAAGCCAAAUCUGGGAUAAUAUGAGUACACACGUAAUUAGAGUAAAUAUUUAAACAUUUCCAAGAUGGUAAUUAUUUAUACAUUUACAAAAAUCCAUUUAUUCAAAGUUGGAAAUCAUUUAUAUAUUUAUUAUCUGCAUAGAGAUAACAAUAAUAAAUAGGUAUAGAAAAAAGACAAUUAUACAGUAUGAAAUAAUAAAUAUAUAAAUAAAUAAAUAAUGGGGAGGGGAAUGCUCUUGUUUUACAGUAACAUUGCUAUCAUAAAUGUGUAUCAACACUGACUUGAUAGAUAUUGUAUACUUCCAGGCGUGUUACUCCAAAAAGGACACAACUUCACUUUUAUAGCAUUUUUUCAAAAAUAUAUAGUCUGGUUCUAAUCUUGUAAAAACAACGAACAGGGGAGCAAUCUUCUUCCAAAAAAGAACACUAUAAAAGAAAAAAUAAGAUGUGUACAUAUUCCAGAUUUUAAAAGGCAAAAUUUUUGACUAAUAAAUGAAAUACUUGACCUGAUACCAUAUUCGAUAUUGGAGGACAAAUGUAGCAAAGAAGUAUUUGGGAAUUAAAAUCUAUGUAACUUACUCUAAAAUGGUACAGAGAUAUAGAUAGAUAGAUGGAGCUAGAGUAGAAAUAGAGAUAUGAUUUAUGCAAGUUAUUUUCAUAUAGAUGAAAGAGAGAAGAAUGAUAAAAUAUUAACAAUAGGUGAAUCUGUGUUUAGGUACGUAAACAUAUGUUUCUCAUUUUUCCAACUGUUUUAAAAUUUUAAAUUACCUCAACAUUUUAAAAAGUUAAAAAAGUGAUCUGCAGGCCAGGUGCGGUGGGGUGGCUCAUGCCUGUAAUCCCAGCAAUUUAAGAGGCAGAGGCAGGCGGAUCACGAGGUCAGGAGUUCAAGACCAGCCUGCCCAGCAUGGUGAAACCCCAUCUCUAUUAAAAAUACAAAAAAUUACCCGGGCUUGGUGUAGAGCGCCUAUAAUCCCAGCUACUCAGGAGGCUGAGGCAGGAGAAUUGCUUGAAUCUGGGAGGUGAAGUCUGUAGUGAGCUGAAAUAGCACCACUGCACUCCAGCCUGGAGACAGAGCAACCUCUGUCUCAAAAAAAAGAAAAAAAGAAAAAAAAAAACUGCAGAGAAGUAAAGGUACAUGCUGUCAUUGUAAUUAUCAGUAUAACCAAGAGACAAAACUAAAAAGAAAAUUUUAAGUAAGGAGAUGAGUUGGGAGGGUGAUAUCACUGAUUUAAAUCCACAUCUAUUCUAGCAGGAGGUUAAGAAGAAGAAAAAAUAAAACUCUAAGCUCUAAACUCUAACAAACCAAAACCAAAUCACAACAUCACCAUAUUUUGGGGUAUCAGUGUUUACAGCCAAAGAGCUGCUCUCUUUCAGAAGCAGCAAUAUGAAUGGGAAAGAUUUAGACAAGGCACUACUGCACUUCACUGAAUCAUUAUUAUAAAUCUAAAUAUAUACGCAUAUACUCAAAAGCAAUCAAACUAUUCUGAAAGAUGGUGGUGGCCAUGGAGACAGAGAGAUGUGAAUUAUUUGAAAUAUAUUUGGGAAACUACAUUGAUAGAAAUUGGAAGCAAUGAGUGAAGUAAAAUCAGGCCUCUGACUUGGGGAAGCUGGGAGGAGAAUGGUAUGAUUCUCUAAGUUGGGAAACACCACAGAAGACAUAUUGUGAAGAGAAAUAAAACAAUUUAGUAUUCAAUCUACUGAAUUUCUGUUAUGUUUGAGGACAGGCAUUUCUUUUAGGAAGUUAGUAAUAUAGUUUGGAUAUUUUUUUCAUGCACAGAUCUCAUGUUUAAUUGUAAUUUUCAGUGCUGGAAGUGGGGCCUGGUGGGUGGUGUUUGGAUAAUGGAAGUGGAUCCCUCAUGGCUUAGUGCUGUCUUCAUGUUGGUGAGUUCUCAUGAGAUCUGGUCAUUUAAAAGUUUGUGGCCCCUCCCCACCCAACUUUCUCUCUGGCUCCUGCUUUUGUCAUGUGGUAUGCCUACUCUCAUUUGCCUUCCACCAUGAUUGUAAGCUUUCUGAGGCUUCCCUAAAAGCAGAUUUUGGCAUUAUGCUUUCUGUACAGCCUGCAGAACGAUAAGCCAAUUAAACCUCUUUUCUUAUAAAUUAUCUAGUCUCAGGAAUUUCUUUACAGGAAUGCAAGUAUUGCCUAAUACAGAAAAAUGGUGCUGAUGAAUGGGGCAUUGCUAUAAAGGUACCUGAAAAUGUGGAAAAGACUUUAGAACUGAGUAAUGGGCAGAGGUUGGAAGAGUUUGGAGGGCUCAGAAGAAGAUAGGAAGAGGAGGAAAAGUUUAGAACUCCUUAGAGAACUGGUUAAAUGGUUGUGAUCAAAACGCUGAUGGUAAUAUGGACAAGUGAAGUCUAGGCCAAAGAGGUCUCAGAUGUAAAUGAGAAAACUACUGGGAACUAGAGCAAAGGUCAUACAUGUUAUGCCUUAGCCAAGAGCUUGGCUGCAUUCUGUUGUUGCUGUAGGGAUCUGUGGAAGUUUGAACUUAAGAGUAAUGAUUUAGGAUAUCUAGCAGAAGGAAUUUCUAAGCAGCAAAACAUUCAAGAUUUGACCUGGCUGCUUCUAACAACACACUCUCAGAUCAGGGAGCUAAAAAAAUGGUGUAAAGCUGGAAUUUAUAUUUAAAAGUUAAGCAAAGCAUUAAAAAUUUGGAAAAUUUGCAGUCUGGCCAAGUGGCAAAGAAAGAAAAAGCUUUUUCAGGGGAGGAAUUGAAACAGGCUGUGGAACAACCACUUAUGUAAAAGAUUUAUGUAAAUAAAAAGGAGCCAAGUGCUAAUAUCUAAGACAAUAAAGAAAAGGUCUCAAAGGUUUUUGGGAGACCUUUGGGACAGCCCAGAGGCCUAGAAGGAAAUAAUGGUUUUGUGGGCCCGUCACAGGGGCUCUCUUCCCUCCUCAGCCUUGGGACACUGUUCCUUGCCUCCUGGCAGCUUCAGCACUAGCCAGGGCUCAACAGGGAACAGGUGCAGCUUAGAAUGCCACUUUGGAGAAUGCAAGCCAUAGCCUUGGUGACUUCCACAUAGUGUUAAGCCUCUAGGUGCACAGAAUGCAAGAGUGAAGAAUACUUGUCAGCCUCUGCCUAGAUUUCAGAAGAUGUAUGAGAAAGUCUGGGUGCCCAGGCAAAAGCCUGCUGCAGGAUUAGAACCUUCACAGGGAACCUCUACUAGGGCAGUUCCAAGGGGAAAUGAAGGAUUGGAAGCCCACACAGAGUCCCCUAUGAGGCACUGCAUAGUGGAACUGUGAAAGGAGGGUCAUCAUCUUCCAACCCCAGCAGCUUUCAUCCUGCAUCUGGAAAAGCCACAGCACUCAACAACCUGUGAGAUCAGCCUAGGGUGCAGAACCCUGCAAAGUCACAGGGACAGAGUUGCCCAAAGCCUGGGGAGCCCAUCCCUUGCAACAGUGUGCUCUAGAUGUAGGAUAUGGAGUCAAAGGAGAUUAUUUUGGAGUCUUAAGAUUUAAUGAGCAAGCCUGGCGCGGUGGCUCAUACCUGUAAUCCCAGCACUUUGGGAGGCCAAGGCAGGCGGAUC
This 5905-nucleotide long non-coding RNA is filed under the name Homo sapiens (human). RNAcentral describes it as "HSALNT0202450". Lineage: Eukaryota; Metazoa; Chordata; Mammalia; Primates; Hominidae. The record is from RNAcentral.